UACGAAGGGUGCAAGCGUUAUUCGGAAUUACUGGGCGUAAAGCGCGCGUAGGCGGUUUGUUAAGUCUGAUGUGAAAGCCCUGGGCUCAACCUGGGAAUUGCAUUGGAUACUGGCAGGCUAGAGUGCGGUAGAGGGUAGUGGAAUUCCCGGUGUAGCGGUGAAAUGCGUAGAGAUCGGGAGGAACAUCUGUGGCGAAGGCGGCUACCUGGCCCAGAACUGACGCUGAGGCGCGAAAGCGUGGGGAGCAAACAGG
This 253-nucleotide ribosomal RNA is filed under the name uncultured bacterium. RNAcentral's name for it is "partial 16S ribosomal RNA". It matches the Rfam family "Bacterial small subunit ribosomal RNA", at positions 524 to 776 of the family's 1533-position model. The record is from RNAcentral.